RNAcentral lists this non-coding RNA (25 nucleotides) under Cricetulus griseus (Chinese hamster). Lineage: Eukaryota; Metazoa; Chordata; Mammalia; Rodentia; Cricetidae. The record is from RNAcentral.
CAGCCGCCAAUGGGGUAACUUUUUU